Molecule: transfer RNA, 65 nt
Filed under: Dausara latiterminalis
Lineage: Eukaryota; Metazoa; Arthropoda; Insecta; Lepidoptera; Crambidae
Description: tRNA-Thr
Rfam family: tRNA
About the family: Transfer RNA (tRNA) molecules are approximately 80 nucleotides in length.
Source: RNAcentral
GUUUUUAUAGUUUAAAAUAAAACAUUGGUCUUGUAAACCUAAAAUAAGAAAAAUCUUUAAAAACU